Molecule: long non-coding RNA, 1337 nt
Filed under: Mytilus galloprovincialis (Mediterranean mussel)
Lineage: Eukaryota; Metazoa; Mollusca; Bivalvia; Mytilida; Mytilidae
Source: RNAcentral
UUGAAAAUUACGGGAGAAAAUUGGGAAAGAAAUUUGAAUGAAACUUGAAAAUUACGGCUUGCAAAUAACCAAAACGAAAUGUUUGAUAAAGAAGGAACGAGGUCCUUCAAGUCACUGGAAGAUGUUAAGAACUUUGAAGAAGUUUAUGUGCAGAAAUAUCAUCUUUGGCGAUUGAGAAUAAUUUCCAGAAACAUGCUGGCGUAAUGGCAUUAAUUGCCUAAACAGUAUAUCAUACAACGAUGACACUACAUAAUGUAUUCUCUUUAGCUUGUUUCUGGAGAAUAUUGAUAAACAAUUUAAACCAUAUGAUUGUCAUGUAAAACGGAUCUUUUUGAAAAGUUGCUGGUCAUGACACAUAGUCGAUAUCAUGAAAGAUAUUAUGCGAUGUAUUCAAUAACAAAAUAACCAUGGCUUCAUAAAUGUUAUGUUUUCAAUAUUGUAUAAAUAGUAUGAUCGUUAAACCUUGGAACAGUAUAUACGUUCCUUGUUCAAACCGUAAUAAAAUAAGUUCCCAUAAAAUCAAACAGCUACAGGUCGUCAUAUGGAAUUAAACUCUUAGCAAAAAAGCCAAACUCACUAAUAAGAUAUAUACAAUAAAAUUGAGAAUGGAAAUUGGGAAUGUGUAAAAGAGACAACAACCCGACAAUAGAACAGACUACAGCAAAAUAUCACCAACAGGUCUUCAAUGCAGCGAGAAUUCCAGCACCCGUAGACGUCCUUCAGCUGGCCCCUAAACAAAUAUUUACUAGUUUAGUGAUAAUGAACGCCAUACUAAACUCCGAAUUGUACACAAGAAACUAAAAUUUAAAAUAAAACAAGACUAACAAAGACCAGAGGCUCCUGACUUGGGACAGCUAGGCGCAAAAAUGCAGCGGGGUUAAACAUGUUUAUGAGAUAUCAACCCUCCCCCUAUACAAUGUCUUUACUCUGACUGUUGCAUUUUGAACAAACAAGGGUAAAGUCCAGCGCAAUGUAGAACAAAACAGUUUCAACAUUCAUAUAUCAUUAUCAUGAUCUUGACCUGCAUGGAUAUGCAUUUAACUUGCAACUGGACGAUUAAACACUACGGUUAUUGAUGACUGCAUGAAAAACUUUAACCUCAGACAAAACAUGAAAUUAACUUUUCAGGAAUAACGAAGUCCAUCUAGUAGUAAAAUACGGAAAAAUGAAAAUAAAUAUUUGUUAAAUUUUGCCCUGGAUACUGUUUUUUGGACAUAAAGAAGCUUCUGUCCCAAUUUCCCGAAAUUCCAUUAUUUUUGAAAACGAUUUUGAUGUAAAACAAAACGUUAACCACAGACUGAACCUAAAUGCUGACGACGGAAUCUCUGAUCGCCAAG